AGGUAUGGAGACCAUUUAUGUACCCAGUGGCAUGUGCUUCAUCUAACCAAGAUUCAGACAUCUCAAGAGGUUAUGUAUUGUAUGGUUCUAUUCAGCUCCAAUUCAGCCUCUGGCCUGGGAACCUCCAUAUGCUAAGGGUGUGGCACUAAAAGAAAAAAAAGGAAGAACUAGCCCACCCUUGACCAGAUGUGGGUGAAUUAGAGAGUUAAUUAUACAUGUAUAUUUUCCAAUCCAUUGGUUUAUAUACAACACUAAUGUAAUUUUUAAAGGAGAAAUUUGUGGUUAGUAAUGUUUAAUCCAGUCAAAGCAUGAAGAUGAGGGAGGGAGAUUUGUAGCAAAUUAUCACUAACCUAACUGUUAGUCCAAAAGACUUUUGUCAAUCUACUAAUAAUACAAGGAGAGUGAGAAAACAUUUUAAAAAUUUCCCAUAUUCCUCAGAAAGAAAUAUUUCAAUUAUAAUGGUAACAGAACAUUACAAACCUAGGAAUAAAUUUAUUUUAAACAACAGUGCUUUACUGAGAUUAAAAGAUAUUCAUAAAUGAAAACAAAUAAUAUGUUCUUAAUCAAAGUAUCCAAUAUGCACAUUAAGUUUUGUCCUUCACACACUAAUUUAUAAGUUAAUUCAAAGUUAAAAUUGUAAUUAUGAAUAAAUACCAAAUUUUCCUUUUUUUUUCUUUAAUAAACAUCUACUGAUUUGGCAUUACUCUUAUACUUGAAGGUUUGUGCCAAAGGAAGGGAGCUGCCCUGGUCACAGGAAUGAGUACAGGGAGAAGGUGCCUCAGAAGCAGUGUGCACUUGCUGCACAGAAGUAGACAGCUGAGUCUUCAGGCUGGGUGACUGCGAUGUGCAGGGAGAAAUGCUUGGCUGUCUUAUUCAAUGAGACAGUGAGUCUUUCUUCUUCCUGCUUGACCCCAUUUGCUCGAAUGUAUGUAAGGAACUGGAGACCUUUUCCAGGUUCUUGCUUAUACCAAGGGAAGUAGUCUGAGGUACUGUCUGUAUAAGAGCAGGUGAUAACAGAGCUGUUUCCCUCCUGGACACUCAGGGUAGGACUCUGCUCCACCUUCUCUCCAAGGCUGACCCCUAGGCAGAAAGAAGAAGUCAGAGAAAGGAGAAGGGUUGUUAGGUCAUUACACUCCUGAAUUUACCUUUCCUUUUCCACAGUAACUAGAGGAAACCAGUAUAAAGCCAGUCUCCUUCUUGGACUUUCAAACAAUAUCCACUGAUAUACUCUGUUUCCCAUAAGCCCUCAACUCACAGUCCAGCUGCAGCCCCAAGAACAGGAUUGAAACUCUAAUGGAGGUCUUCAUUGCUCUCCUCAUCUAGAAUCAAUUAAGGACCUGCCAAGAGGGCUACAUCUACUAUCAAAUGAUCCCUUCUUUUCCCCGGCAGCCACAGUGGGUUCUCACAUUGUCUACCCAGCCAAUAAGAAAAGGGCCCUGCUUCUGCCCUGAGCCUAUUCAUGCAGAAUCCACUGAAAUGAACCCUCCACACAUCUUGCAUCAGCAGAGGUGCACCACCAUCUGGUGGUCACAUCUCCAACUACUGAAAACUCUGGUAAAUAUUUUUCUCUCACCCUGUGUCUGCGAGGGGCUCAGAUGCAUAAAAGCAGCAAGACGUCAAACAAAUUUAGUUGUAGGUCAGAGAUUAAGUGUAUGUAAUACUAUAGAGAUCCAGACUUAUAUCUCCGCACAGGAUUGAGUUGAUUGUUCAUAAAUUAGCAAGAGGUAGAUGCUUUCGCUGCUUGUGCAGUGAUGUGCCUGGUAUACAGAUUUGAAAUCAGGAAUGCACCAUGAUUCACUCCCUAAAACAAAGAAAAUGUAAAAUCUUCCUUUUCAGGCAAUAUCCUAUUUGUCUUUUAUGGAGAAAAAUUAUUUGUAAAAGGAAUGUGUAAGCCAAAGAUAAAAUUAGGAGAGAGAAGAUUGUUUCUAUUUCAAGUUCCUAUUAUUUCAGCCUCUGCUCCUAUAAGCUGGUCUUGCACGUGACCUUUCUUUUCCCUGAGAAUCAACACCACCAGCAGUCAAAAUGCAGAAACUUCCUUCAGUAAAGCCUAUUGUAAGAGGGAGAAUAAGAGGUAAAAGAUCAAAUCUCAAUGAUAAGGGAGCCUGGAGAAAAGCUCUAUAAGUUAGGAAAUAGUUUGACCCCAGGUUUGGUUACUUUGCCAUGAAAAACCUGACAUGCUUUAAGAAAUCUCUUCCUGGAGCUCCCGUCGUGAAUCAGUGGAAACAAAUCUGACUAGCAUCCAUGAGGAUGCAGGUUAGAUCCCUGGCCUUGAUCAGUGGGUUAAGGAUCUGGCGUUUCCAUGUGCUGCAGUGCAGAUCGCAGAGGUGGAUCGGAUCUCAUGUUGCUGUGGCUGUGGCAUAGGUUGGCAGCUGCAGCUCUGAUUCCACCCCCGACUGGGAACCUCCAUAUGCCCUAAAAUGACCAAAAAAAAAAAAAAGAUAUUUCUUCCUAUUGCUAGGUGGAUUAUACACUGUGAAAUAUUUAGACUAAGAAUACAAGGUCUCAGAAAAUAUCAAGCUGCAGGUUCAGAAAAUGUAAUCAUAUGUAAAUUUAUUCUACAUUACUUUUACUUUCUGCUGUCAGAAAGUAUGGCAUGUCCUAAAUGCAGUGACUUACUCCUAUCCUUAGUGGAAUUUCCUCUAUAGUAUAAAGCAUACAUUUCUGCUGCCAUGGCUAUUGCUGGCUCAGUUUCCAUACUCUCAUUUUUCUCCCCAACUCUAUUGCUACAUUCUUUCCCCCAAGACAUUGAUAAAGCUCCUCAGUCCUGUAAAUGGCCAAGAUUAUCUCCCUCUGCCAAAACCCUUUCUCCUCUUCUUAUAUAACUUGGUAUUUACCAAUUACCUCUGUAAGUAAAAAAUCUAGGGAAACCUAAAUAGCACCUGUGUUUACCAGUGGGAUAGUCCAAAUAGGUAACUGAUUCUAAAUAACUGAUCCUGAGAAGUGACUCCUGGGAAACCAGCACCACCUCAGUUCUAGCAGUGGAAGCCCCUCUCCUGUGACAUAUACCCAUUGGUCUUCUGGAGGCAUGGAGAAUAAACACAAACCCUCAUCCACAUUUCAAACCUUCAAGAUUUAAGGAGAGUUUUGAUAAAGAAUCAGAAAUCAACAUAAAUUUGUAUGUAAAUAUGAAAUGUGUGCUUCUACUCAUAUAAAACUCCUUUAUUCUAAGGAUGUUCAUCUAUCCUCUCGUUCAUCCUUCAUAGUAUAGAAUUCCCAAAUGCUUCACUGGGCAAAUUUCCUUUUCAUAAAGACAGAAAACUUAUAUCAAAAUUUCCCUUUCAAAUUAUGGUAUCCAGAACUGGAUGUUAUAGUUUGAAGAUACAAUUGUUUCCCAUUCUUUUGGCUAAGAUUAAGUGAAGUUGCUCUCCUCAGCACAGUGUCCCAUAUCCUAACUUUAGCACAAGUACAGCCACCCCCUGUAUAAAAUUCAUACACCAUGAAAAUUUGAUUGAAUAUUGCCUAAUUCAUCCUCAAAAAAUGUUGACUGGGCCAGACUUUUUCUAGUACUUUAAGAACCACUAGCUGUAAGAGGACCAUAACACCCAGUGCAAAAAUGGGGUCCCUGGUUCAAAAAGCAAGAAAAAGUCAUAUUAUGUAAUAAAGUAGAAAGGCCUCUUUAGACAUAUUUUCUUAGUCAUAAAAUUGAUGGGAUUCCUAAUGAUAUAUAAGUAACAAUAUAAAUUUACAAAAUAAAAAAUUGGAGGUUACAAUUUUAUAUAAUUCAAUUACUAAUAAUACUUUAUUAGCUUUUAUCUUGACAAUAAAAUUUUUCUAGCUUGCUUUCCUAUAGAUUAUUCAUUAGAAUAUCAAAUAUUCAUUUUUAGGAACUUCAUUUCAAUCUCUUUAAAAUCAAUGUCAGCUCUUGUGGGUAAAUACAAGAUUGCGAACAGAAUAUUUGAGGGGUUUUUUUUGGGAGGGGUUUGUCUUUCUUUUUUCUUUUGUCUUUUUGCUGUCUUUUGGGCCGCUCCCGCAGCAUAUGGAGGUUCCCAGGGUAGGGGUCUAAUCAGAUCUGUAGCCACCAGUCUACGCCAGAGCCACAGCAACGCAGGAUCCGAGCCGCGUCUGCCACCCACACCACAGCUCAGGGCAACGCCGGAUCCCCAACCCACUGAGCAAGGCCAGGGAUCGAACCCGCAACCUCAUGGUUCCUAGUUGGACCUGAUAACCACCGAGCCACGAAGGGAACUCUGUGAAUUUUUAAUUUUGAGAAGAGUAUUUCUGUUGAUUCAAAUCAUAUUAGAGCUCUUAAGAGUAUUUUAUAUGUUGUGACAGUAUUAACAUAAAUACCUGAUAAAUUGGUUUGAAAUAUAAAUUCUAGUGUAUCUAGAACUGAUACUCUAGUGGAACAAUUUCCCUAUAACAAUUUAACUCUCCAUAUGAAUCAAGUUCAAAUAAGUCUAAAAUUAAUAUUAAAUGUAAAUUUCUAUAGUGGCAUUUUAUAUUUUCUGCCAAUUUCUGUAACAUGUAGAAAGCCUAUAGGAUUAAAAGUGGCUUCAUGAUUUGUUCAAAAUAGAUUGCUUGUUUAUGCAUCCUACCACUGUGUCUUCAAUGACAGGAAAAAGUAAUUGUCAAUUAUCUUCUGUGUUAAAAGUCAGCUCAUUGAAUUAGUUAAGACUUCACAUGAAAAUAGUAUGCUUUUUCAUUGGAGCUCUUAUCUUUACAUUAAUUUCUAUUUCUAAGCCUAUGGAUAUUUACUCUGCAUAUUGCAGCAAUUUUCAAAAUCAGAGUUUCUCAACUUUCUGAGAAUUCUAUCUCUCCUUACACUUUAUUGCAGUAUUCACAUAUAAGCUUUCGUUUUGUCAUAAUUUAUCAACAAGGUUUUCUGCUACCCGCUUUGGGACCCUGCUAAGCCACAGAUGGCCCCAAGCUUGCUG
RNAcentral lists this long non-coding RNA (4874 nucleotides) under Sus scrofa (pig). RNAcentral describes it as "lncRNA (ENSSSCG00000061070.1)". Lineage: Eukaryota; Metazoa; Chordata; Mammalia; Artiodactyla; Suidae. The record is from RNAcentral.